This 532-nucleotide ribosomal RNA is filed under the name uncultured archaeon. RNAcentral describes it as "bacterial SSU rRNA". It matches the Rfam family "Archaeal small subunit ribosomal RNA", at positions 292 to 824 of the family's 1478-position model. The record is from RNAcentral.
GGAGAUGGAUUCUGAGACACGAAUCCAGGCCCUACGGGGUGCAGCAGGCGCGAAAACUUUACAAUGCGGGAAACCGUGAUAAGGGAAUCUCGAGUGCCAGCAUAUAAUGUUGGCUGUCCAGAUGCCUAAAAAGCAUCUGUUAGCAAGGGCCGGGCAAGACCGGUGCCAGCCGCCGCGGUAACACCGGCGGCCCGAGUGGUAACCGCUUUUAUUGGGUCUAAAGGGUCUGUAGCCGGCCAAGUAAGUCCCUUGGGAAAUCUGGCAGCUUAACUGUCAGGCUGCUAGGGGAUACUGCUAGGCUUGGGACCGGGAGAGGUGAGAGGUACCUUGGGGGUAGGGGUGAAAUCUUGUGAUCCUCGGGGGACCACCAGUGGCGAAGGCGUCUCACCAGAACGGGUCCGACGGUAAGGGACGAAAGCUAGGGGCACGAACCGGAUUAGAUACCCGGGUAGUCCUAGCCGUAAACGAUGCUCGCUAGGUGUCAGUCACGGUGCGACCGUGAUUGGUGCCGUAGGGAAGCCGUGAAGCGAGC